This 113-nucleotide microRNA precursor is filed under the name Marmota monax (woodchuck). The record is from RNAcentral. Lineage: Eukaryota; Metazoa; Chordata; Mammalia; Rodentia; Sciuridae.
AUUAGAUCACUUUAGGAUUUUGUUAAAAUUCAGAUUAUAAUCAAAUAGGAAAGGUAUAAUGUGAGGUAAGACCUGAUAGUGUGCAUUCUGACAAGCUCCCAUGUGAUAUUGCU